RNAcentral lists this ribosomal RNA (286 nucleotides) under Enterococcus massiliensis. Its description in RNAcentral is "partial 16S ribosomal RNA". It matches the Rfam family "Bacterial small subunit ribosomal RNA", at positions 508 to 792 of the family's 1533-position model. Lineage: Bacteria; Bacillati; Bacillota; Bacilli; Lactobacillales; Enterococcaceae. The record is from RNAcentral.
CCAGCAGCCGCGGUAAUACGUAGGUGGCAAGCGUUGUCCGGAUUUAUUGGGCGUAAAGCGAGCGCAGGCGGUUUCUUAAGUCUGAUGUGAAAGCCCCCGGCCUUAUUGGGGAGGGUCAUUGGAAACUGGGAGACUUGAGUGCAGCUUAGGAGAGUGGAAUUCCAUGUGUAGCGGUGAAAUGCGUAGAUAUAUGGAGGAACACCAGUGGCGAAGGCGGCUCUCUGGUCUGUAACUGACGCUGAGGCUCGAAAGCGUGGGGAGCAAACAGGAUUAGAUUACCCUGGUA